This 492-nucleotide ribosomal RNA is filed under the name uncultured bacterium. RNAcentral describes it as "partial 16S ribosomal RNA". It matches the Rfam family "Bacterial small subunit ribosomal RNA", at positions 28 to 507 of the family's 1533-position model. The record is from RNAcentral.
GAUGAACGCUCGCUACAGGCUUAACACAUGCAAGUCGAGGGGAAACGGCAUUGAGUGCUUGCACUCUUUGGACGUCGACCGGCGCACGGGUGAGUAACGCGUAUCCAACCUUCCCAUUACUGUGGGAUAACCUGCCGAAAGGCAGACUAGUACCGCAUAGUCUUCGAUGACGGCAUCAGAUUUGAAGUAAAGAUUUAUCGGUAAUGGAUGGGGAUGCGUCUGAUUAGCUUGUUGGCGGGGUAACGGCCCACCAAGGCUACGAUCAGUAGGGGUUCUGAGAGGAAGGCCCCCCACAUUGGAACUGAGACACGGUCCAAACUCCUACGGGAGGCAGCAGUGAGGAAUAUUGGUCAAUGGACGGAAGUCUGAACCAGCCAAGUAGCGUGCAGGAUGACGGCCCUAUGGGUUGUAAACUGCUUUUGUAUGGGGAUAAAGUUAGGGACGUGUCCCUAUUUGCAGGUACCAUACGAAUAAGGACCGGCUAAUUCCGUG